RNAcentral lists this unclassified non-coding RNA (1055 nucleotides) under Hevea brasiliensis (rubber tree). Lineage: Eukaryota; Viridiplantae; Streptophyta; Magnoliopsida; Malpighiales; Euphorbiaceae. The record is from RNAcentral.
CCCCUUGAGACAUUUCAAUGCAAGAUUAUCUAAAUAACUUGCUCUCACAAUCCUUCACCUGCCCUUUGCAGAACCCUACGAAGCUCGUCAGCGAUCCCUCGUAAGAGAACAGGCUUUCGAAUCACUCCAUUCAUUCCCAUCUGUAGGCAUCUCUCCCAAACAUUAUCCUCGGCACUGGCAGUCAAGGCUAUAAUCAAUGGCCAAUUACGACUUCGGAACUUUCGGAUUCUCAUUGCCACUUCAAAGCCAUCCAUUUCAGGCAUCUGAAGAUCCAAAAUAACAACUCCAAAAGAAUUUUCAGCAGAACUAAGAGCACUAAGGCAUUCAAAUCCAGAUGAAACAGCAAUCACUUCACAACCUAACUUCUCAAGCAGCUUCUUGGUCACAGUCCUAUUAACAUCAUCAUCAUCAGCAAAUAUAACCCGGAGGCCUCUGAACAUAGAAUUGGAAUUAGGUUGUUCUGAGGCAGCUCCAUAGGCAAAUAUGGCUCUUCCAUAAGAAGGUCGGAUUUGAAACCUGAGAAUCAAAGUCAUGCUUUGUGCAAAACCCAGAGAGUUCUGAGAUAUCCAGAUAUUACCUUGCAUCAUCUGCACAAGCUUUUUGCACAUGCUGAAGCUCAAGCCUUCCUUAACUUCAUCACCGUUUUGCCUUCUUCCAGAAGAAUGUGUGGUUGAGACUGAUCCAUCUGACAAAGAACUUCCACCCUUAAUCUCGAUCUCAAACUUGAUGCACACAUACUCCUCAGGAGCAUUUGGUUUCCACAUCCCCAACAUUCUAUCAUUCUUGCCCUCACUACCACUCUCCGAGAAAACCCGAAAUAUGACAGUCCCACCUCCAUCAUAGGCAUUCAAUAGAUAUCCAACCAUAUGCAGAAUCACUUGAAAAGCCCUCCGCUCAUCCCCUAUCACUAAAUCAGGCAAAGAACUCUGAACGUCAAUUUCAAAACCAAAGCCUUUAUACACACAAAAGCACUUAGCAAGACAAGAAGCUUCCUUGAUCAUAGAGUGUAAACGGAAAGGCCUCACUUCUAAUGAAAACCUUCCAUUAUCUUUUGC